RNAcentral lists this ribosomal RNA (467 nucleotides) under uncultured bacterium. RNAcentral describes it as "partial 16S ribosomal RNA". It matches the Rfam family "Bacterial small subunit ribosomal RNA", at positions 29 to 507 of the family's 1533-position model. The record is from RNAcentral.
ACGAACGCUGGCGGCGUGCUUAACACCUGCAAGUCGAACGGAAAGGCCCUGCUUUUGUGGGGUGCUCGGGUGGCGAACGGGUGAGUAACACGUGAGUAACCUGCCCUUGACUUUGGGAUAACUUCAGGAAACUGGGGCUAAUACCGGAUAGGAGCUCCUGCUGCAUGGUGGGGGUUGGAAAGUUUCGGCGGUUGGGGAUGGACUCGCGGCUUAUCAGCUUGUUGGUGGGGGAGUGGUUUACCAAGGCUUUGACGGGUAGCCGGCCUGAGAGGGUGACCGGCCACAUUGGGACUGAGAUACGGCCCAGACUCCUACGGGAGGCAGCAGUGGGGAAUAUUGCACAAUGGGCGGAAGCCUGAUGCAGCAACGCCGCGUGCGGGAUGACGGCCUUCGGGUUGUAAACCGCUUUCGCCUGUGACGAAGCGUGAGUGACGGUAAUGGGUAAAGAAGCACCGGCUAACUACGUG